Molecule: ribosomal RNA, 301 nt
Filed under: uncultured bacterium
Lineage: Bacteria
Description: partial 16S ribosomal RNA
Rfam family: Bacterial small subunit ribosomal RNA
Source: RNAcentral
CAGCCGCCGCGGGAAUACAGAGGGUGCGAGCGUUAAUCGGAAUUACUGGGCGUAAAGCGCGCGUAGGUGGUUUGUUAAGUUGGAUGUGAAAUCCCCGGGCUCAACCUGGGAACUGCAUCCAAAACUGGCAAGCUAGAGUAUGGUAGAGGGUGGUGGAAUUUCCUGUGUAGCGGUGAAAUGCGUAGAUAUAGGAAGGAACACCAGUGGCGAAGGCGACCACCUGGACUGAUACUGACACUGAGGUGCGAAAGCGUGGGGAGCAAACAGGAUUAGAUACCCGCGUAGUCCCUGUCUCUUAUAC